This 54-nucleotide microRNA precursor is filed under the name Ciona intestinalis (vase tunicate). RNAcentral describes it as "microRNA cin-mir-4204 precursor". The record is from miRBase by way of RNAcentral. Lineage: Eukaryota; Metazoa; Chordata; Ascidiacea; Phlebobranchia; Cionidae.
UAAAUAUAAUGUCAUUUAUACAUUAUUUAUGCAAUAAAUGAUUUAUAUUUACAG